AUUGAACGCUGGCGGCAUGCCUUACACAUGCAAGUCGAACGGUAACGCGGGGCAACCUGGCGACGAGUGGCGAACGGGUGAGUAAAGCAUCGGAACGUGCCCAGUAGUGGGGGAUAGCCCGGCGAAAGCCGGAUUAAUACCGCAUACGACCUACGGGUGAAAGGGGGGGAUCGCAAGACCUCUCGCUAUUGGAGCGGCCGAUGUCAGAUUAGGUAGUUGGUGGGGUAAAGGCCUACCAAGCCGACGAUCUGUAGCUGGUCUGAGAGGACGACCAGCCACACUGGGACUGAGACACGGCCCAGACUCCUACGGGAGGCAGCAGUGGGGAAUUUUGGACAAUGGGCGCAAG
RNAcentral lists this ribosomal RNA (349 nucleotides) under uncultured bacterium. Its description in RNAcentral is "bacterial SSU rRNA". It matches the Rfam family "Bacterial small subunit ribosomal RNA", at positions 29 to 381 of the family's 1533-position model. The record is from RNAcentral.